Molecule: ribosomal RNA, 253 nt
Filed under: uncultured bacterium
Lineage: Bacteria
Description: partial 16S ribosomal RNA
Rfam family: Bacterial small subunit ribosomal RNA
Source: RNAcentral
UACGUAGGCAGCGAGCGUUGUUCGGAAUUACUGGGCGUAAAGAGUGUGUAGGCGGUGCCCUAAGUUCGGUGUGAAAUCUCCCGGCUUAACUGGGAGGGUGCGCCGGAAACUGGAGUGCCCGAGCGUGGGAGAGGAAAGCGGAAUUCCCGGUGUAGCGGUGAAAUGCGUAGAUAUCAGGAGGAAUACCGAUGGCGAAGGCAGGUCUCUGGGCUGACACUGACGCUCAUGCACGAAAGCGUGGGGAGCAAACAGG